UUCACCUUGUUUUUCAAAAACAUGUCUUAAAGAAAUUAUAAUUUUAAGUCUAAUCUGCUCAAUGAAUUUUUAAUUUUAAAUAGCUGCAGUAACAAUAACUGUACUAAGGUAGCAUAAUAAUUUGUUUUUUAAUUUAAAACUUGUAUAAAUGAUUAAAUGAAAUAUAAACUGUCUCAAAAUAAAUUAAUAAAAUUAUUUUUUAAGUAAAAAAACUUAAAUAAAUUUUAAAGACGAGAAGACCCUAAAGAAUUUAUAUAUUUAAAUUUAUUAUAUAAUUUAUCAACUUAUAAAAUUAAUUUUUAAAUAAUUUAAUUGGGGAAAUUUUAAAAUUUAACUAAUUUUUAAUUAAAUUUAAAACAAUUAUUAUUGAAUUUAUAAUUUUUUUUUAAAAAAAUAAAUUAAAUUACCUUAGGGAUAACAGCAUAAUUUUUUUAAAAAGUUCAAAUUUAUAUUAAAGUUUAUGACCUCGAGUUUGAAUAAGA
This 482-nucleotide ribosomal RNA is filed under the name Apanteles sp. 53 SY-2016. Its description in RNAcentral is "partial 16S ribosomal RNA". The record is from RNAcentral. Lineage: Eukaryota; Metazoa; Arthropoda; Insecta; Hymenoptera; Braconidae.